AGAGUUUUAUCCUGGCUCAGGAUGAACGCUAGCGACAGGCUUAACACAUGCAAGUCGAGGGGCAGCGGGGAGGUAGCAAUACCUCCGCCGGCGACCGGCGCACGGGUGAGUAACACGUAUGAAACCUACCCGCAGCAGGGGGGAUAAGCGGAAGAAAUUCCGUCUAAUACCGCGUAACAAUCUCCGGAGGCAUCUCCGGGGAUUCAAAGGAGCGAUCCGGCUGCGGAUGGUCAUGCGGCGCAUUAGCUAGUUGGCGGGGUAACGGCCCACCAAGGCGACGAUGCGUAGGGGUUCUGAGAGGAAGGUCCCCCACACUGGUACUGAGACACGGACCAGACUCCUACGGGAGGCAGCAGUGAGGAAUAUUGGUCAAUGGCCGAGAGGCUGAACCAGCCAAGUCGCGUGAGGGAGGACGGCCCUACGGGUUGUAAACCUCUUUUGUCGGGGAGCAAAGAGCGGGAUGCGUCCCGCCUCGAGAGUACCCGAAGAAAAAGCAUCGGCUAACUCCGUGCCAGCAGCCGCGGUAAUACGGAGGAUGCGAGCGUUAUCCGGAUUUAUUGGGUUUAAAGGGUGCGCAGGCGGAAGAUCAAGUCAGCGGUAAAAUUGAGGAGGCUCAACCUCUUUCCACCCGUUAAAACUGGUUUUUUUGAGGGGGGGAGAAAGUACGCGGAAUGCGUGGGGUAGGGGGUGAAAAUGCAUAGAUAUCACGCAGAACUCCGAUGGCGAGGGCAGCGUACCGGCGCCCAACUGACGCUCAUGCACGAAAGGGUGGGUAUCGAACAGGAUUAGAUACCCUGGUAGUCCACGCAGUAAACGAUGAAUACUCGCUGUCCGGAGGGAUUGACCUCUGGGCGGCUUAGCGAAAGCGUUAAGUAUUCCACCUGGGGAGUACGCCGGCAACGGUGAAACUCAAAGGAAUUGACGGGGGCCCGCACAAGCGGAGGAACAUGUGGUUUAAUUCGAUGAUACGCGAGGAACCUUACCCGGGCUCAAACGACACAGGAAUACUUUUGAAAGGAGGUAGCUCUACGGAGUCUGUGUCGAGGUGCUGCAUGGUUGUCGUCAGCUCGUGCCGUGAGGUGUCGGCUUAAGUGCCAUAACGAGCGCAACCCCCAUCGUCAGUUGCCAUCGGGUGAUGCCGGGCACUCUGACGAGACUGCCGGCGCAAGCUGUGAGGAAGGCGGGGAUGACGUCAAAUCAGCACGGCCCUUACGUCCGGGGCGACACACGUGUUACAAUGGCAGGUACAGAGAGAAGCGACACGGCGACGUGAAGCGGAACUGUCAAAACCUGUCUCAGUUCGGAUCGGAGUCUGCAACCCGACUCCGUGAAGCUGGAUUCGCUAGUAAUCGCGCAUCAGCCAUGGCGCGGUGAAUACGUUCCCGGGCCUUGCACUCACCGCCCGUCA
RNAcentral lists this ribosomal RNA (1408 nucleotides) under uncultured bacterium. RNAcentral's name for it is "16S ribosomal RNA". It matches the Rfam family "Bacterial small subunit ribosomal RNA". The record is from RNAcentral.